RNAcentral lists this ribosomal RNA (408 nucleotides) under uncultured bacterium. RNAcentral's name for it is "partial 16S ribosomal RNA". It matches the Rfam family "Bacterial small subunit ribosomal RNA", at positions 28 to 526 of the family's 1533-position model. The record is from RNAcentral.
GACGAACGCUGGCGGCGUGCUUAACACAUGCAAGUCGACAUGAUUGGCGAACGGGUGAGUAAUACGCGGGUCUCCUGCUCUCCUUUUUGGGUUAAGCUGUGGAAACGGGGUCUAAUACCGAAUAAAGGGGGAUGGGCUCGCGGCCUAUCAGCUUGUUGGUGGGGUGAUGGCCUACCAAGGCGGUGACGGGUAGCCGGCCUGAGAGGGUGACCGGCCACAUGGGGACUGUGAUUCUGCCCCGACUCCUACUGGAUGCAGCAUUGGGGGUUUUUGCACAUUGGGCGAAAGCCUCAUGCAGCGACGCCGCGUGGGUGAUGGAGGCCUUCGGAUUGUUAUCCUCGUUCGCUAUCGAACGGGUAGGUGGAAAAGAAGCGCCGGCUAACUACGUGCCAGCAGCCGCGGUAAUUC